This 442-nucleotide ribosomal RNA is filed under the name uncultured bacterium. RNAcentral's name for it is "partial 16S ribosomal RNA". It matches the Rfam family "Bacterial small subunit ribosomal RNA", at positions 338 to 795 of the family's 1533-position model. The record is from RNAcentral.
CCUACGGGAGGCAGCAGUAGGGAAUCUUUCACAAUGGGCGAAAGCCUGAUGGAGCAACGCCGCGUGCAGGAUGAAGGCCUUCGGGUUGUAAACUGCUUUUAUAAGCGAGAAAUGUGAUGGUAACUUAUGAAUAAGGAUCGGCUAACUACGUGCCAGCAGCCGCGGUCAUACGUAGGAUCCGAGCAUUAUCCGGAGUGACUGGGUGUAAAGAGUUGCGUAGGUGGCAUAAUAAGUAGCUAGUGAAAUCUGGUGGCUCAACCAUUCAGACUAUUAGCUAAACUGUUAAGCUCGAGACCGUUAGGGGUAACUGGAAUUUCUAGUGUAGGAGUGAAAUCCGUAGAUAUUAGAAGGAACACCAAUAGCGUAGGCAGGUUGCUGGGACGGUUCUGACACUAAGGCACGAAAGCGUAGGGAGCAAACGGGAUUAGAUACCCCAGUAGUC